Molecule: long non-coding RNA, 4640 nt
Organism: Micropterus salmoides (largemouth bass)
Lineage: Eukaryota; Metazoa; Chordata; Actinopteri; Centrarchiformes; Centrarchidae
Exons: 3
Source: RefSeq, a predicted model, not a curated record
AAUCCACCAUUGAAAUACAUUCACGCUCACAAUUCUACAAAAUACUACCACUGGCAGAGUUGGGGUUCUAUUCCCAUGAAUGAAAGAUCUUCUCCACUUAAUACUGCAAAUUCUGUUCUGUGUAAAGGGGCUGUGAUCCGUCUCACAGAGAAAGUACUGAGUAUUGUGCACCGUUUUUCAACAAACCGUAACAUUCUAAGAGCAUUCCCUUGACAACUAAGCCUAUACUCGCAUGUGGAACGUCAGUGCGCACGACUUUCUUUGAUGUCAGUGUAGGUUACCAAGGUGUCCUUUUCUUGCUCCUCUCUCCCGUCUGCGAACAGCCUCUCCUCUUCGUGCACAAUUUGAAUCAGAACAUGCGCAGGAGGAAGCGACAGGUGUUGGGCUGAAAAGUAAUCAUCUGCCGAAAACUCUUUGACCUCCGCAAGAGCUCGCGCAGCAUGUUAUAGCUGUAACGUCCUGUAUCUAUACAUCUACAGCUGCUUUUGUCUCAAACAUCAUGUCAUAAUGUGCAAAUAAGUAGCAAUGUUAUGUCUUUGUGAAACGUUAAUGUUUCUUGCAACAGAAUAAUCACAGUUGAAGUGUUUGCAGUUUAUCAGGCCUGACAAAACGUUAUUAUAGGCAAUAAAAUUAGCCUAUUGUUGCCGAUGACAUUUGUGUUUGGUAGGCCUAUGUUCAAAAUCCUUGUUUAUAUCUAGAAAACAGACUGUAGUCUUUGCUUGCUCUGUGCCAACCAACCCAGUCCUUUUAUAACCAUUUGAAAUGUGGAGUUUUGUAGUAUUGCUCUUUCCAAAAAGUAUAACUAAAUCAGUCCUUAUUACCAGUUGACAUACGUUUAAAUAGCCAAUACACCCCAAUAGCCUAUGCAGUUUUUCACUUGCCAAAAAAAUUGUUCCACCUCCUGCUGACUGGAAGGUUCUCAAAAUGAUUUGAUUUCAUGUAUGUCACGUGACAUGCGCGGUGACCUAGAGCGCUCACACAGCAACUCCCCUAUAGAGACGCCGUAAAAACAGUCAAAUUUUAUUUGGAUCACCUUUAACUUAAGAAAAAGAAAAAUAUGAACACAAACUGCAAGUGUUGGGCACUUCCGAUCCAUAUAAUGUUACAGCAUUUGCUGUCGCACUUCUACCGUUAAAAGCCGCCAGGUCCCUGCCGCCGUGUAUCACUUGCCUACUGGUUGGCAGGCAGCGCAAAAUAACGUCUUUUUUGCCCUCCAAGGGAGCGUUUUCCUUGGAAUGUGACAUCACGUGAAAACUAUGAAUAUGAGUUAUGGCUAAAUGUAGCUCACCCAGUACUUUUAACCUGUUGAAAUACAUUUAAAGGGCAAAUACACCCAGUAACAAGUUGUUUUCCACUUGCCAAAAAGUGAUUGCAGUCUCGACCUUGAGACUUAAAUAAGAAAAAGUAGGUAACAAAAGUCUGUCUGGUCAGUGUGGAACCGCAAAUGGUUUUCUGAACAUUCUAAAGACUGAAACCAACCUCGGCCAACUUUAGAAUGUUAGUGUUAGUUGGUCGCUGUCUGAGCAGCAUGCAAGCAGCUUUAAAGGUGUUUUCACACGGGAAGCGACCCUUGACCCUGGGGAGUUGCUCUGCGCUUCUCAUGUGAACAGACAGAGACCAGCGCUCUGCGAGUAAAUGGCAGGCGCUGUGUGCUUAGUAACCAUGGCAACGGCUUCUGUGCGCUACACCGCUGCAGCCUAUUUAGCUUAAGUUAAAAUUAUACAUAACUUUACCAGAUACAUUCAGUUUUGUGGGGAUGCUCUGCCAUGCAAAAUCCCUCCUAUUGAUGUCCUGAUAACUAUUUAGUAAACAAUAAUAGAUUCUGGAAACUCACAAACAGCAAGGAUCAUUCAAACAAAAAGUUCAAGACUAUUCAACUCUGGCGUGUGCAUGAGACCAGCACAACCGUGACAGUUUCAUAGGAACACGCCUGCUUGUCGCUAGGGUAAGCGAGUCGGUCUGGGCGUCCCGCCGUGGCUCGGGGGUCCCGUGGAGAAUAAAUGAGCAGAGUUAGAAAUGAAAGGGGCUUGCCGUUACGGAGAUCUGAAAUGAAUGUCUAUGGGAGUGUUAUUUGAUUUCCAAGUAAUAGUGCCACCUAGAGGCUGAUUGACGCCAAAUUUCACACAACCCCUCGGGAGUGCGUGCCAGAUAAGGUCCCAGAGUUUGGUGUAGAUCGGACAUUGCAAACGUAAGAUCGGACAUGAAAUCCUGUUUUUAGUGUUUGCACAAAAAUGUGUUGGCUUAUAAUUUGGCCGUUUUGUGGCGGAUCAAAAUUCCCUCUACAAACUUUCUUUGGCUUGGUCCAGAGAUGGUCUGUGCCAAGGUUCGUGCCGAUAGGACUUGCGGCCUCAGAGGAGUUAAUUAAAAUAGGUUUUCCAGUUUUCGCGAUUUUGCGAAAUGAAAACGUCAUCACGCAGAUGGUCCUAUACCAUCGGAAUCGACAGCAUCCCCCAAACACAUAGACAUAAUGUUUAUGAAUGUGUGAUGUAGUGGGCUGUAGUUAUGAGGCCCACUUUGGUUGAAAAUCCCAUUGAAAUGAAUGGGAUUGUCUGAUGGUAUUUGAGCUUCGAUUAUAGCGCCACCUUUUGGUCGAAUCGCACCAAAAUUUUCAGGUGUGAUCAGAGCCCCAUGGGGAACAGUUGACCCAAAUUUGGUAUCAAUCAGAGUUGUGGUUGUGGAGAUAUAAAAUGCAUGUAAGUCAAUGGGAUUUGUUUUACGUCUUUAAUCUGCAGUAAGAGCGCCAUCUAUGGGCAUAUUUGAGUGAACUUUGGUGCCUGUAGUAAGGGGACCAUGCUGAACAAUUGGGCUGUGGUUCCUCUACAAACUUUUAUCAGCUUGGUCCAGAGAUUAUCCGUGCCAAGUUUGGUGUUGAUCGGACUUGUGGCUUCGGAGGAGUUAAUUAAAAUAGGUUUUUCAGACUUAGCGAUGUAGCGAAAAAAAAAGUCUAGGCGGAAAUGGUCAUGGCCUAUACCACAAGAUUCAGGUGGAUCCCCCGAACACGUCGAUGUAAGGUUUUUGAUAUCCGCCUUCGUGAGCAGGAGUUCCAAGCCCAAACGCGUUGACCUUGCUUAUAGUGCCACCUAGAGGUAGAAGUGUGCGGAUUUUUGCGCCUGCGGUGACCUGGACCUACCCUAUGAAUUUCGUGUCUGUAGCACUUACCGUCUAGGCCGCAGUAUCAGUUUUCUUCACGGAAGAAUAAUAAUAAAAACCAGAAUGAUUCCAAUAAGGUUCACAGCUCCGCUGGUACCGGGAACUGCGAUGCCUUGCAUUUGGGUUUCCCAGCCCCAUUCGGGCUUGGACCCCUAAUUAACUGCUUGUGUUUUGUGGCUUUGUAGCCUUUGGGUUUUUUACUAAAGUAGGCUUUAGUGUGUUGCUAACAUUGGCAUGGCAGCACACUAUUGUACAAUCCUUUAAUAUUAGCAUGCAUAUGACUUUCUAUAUUUACAUACUUUAGGUGAUUGGAAUAAAGCUGAUAAAAAUUGCAUAAAAAAUUUGGGAUUUUGCAUUUUUAAUUCAUUCAUUCAUUUACUUUUGUUCAUCACUGUGCAAAGCCAUCAGGAUUCAGAUAGUAUACACUAUAACGCUCCAUGCCGUCUUUUUUGAAAUUGGAAUCCGCCUUGGUUACCAUGGAAACCAUCAGUGCAUCUGUCAAACCUGAUCUUUUGUGAAGACGUCCAUUAACCUGCAGAAGUCAAUUAAAACUUCAUUCAGACAUAAACGAGUUGAUUCACGGAUGGUUGAAGCAAAGAGUAACACCAGCAGAAAAAUUUGUUUAUCAACCGAGAAAAAGACCAGCACAAACCUAGAUAGACCUCAUCAUGAUGAUGAUGAAGAGAGUAUUAAUGGAGGACAGCUGGAUCAACAUUAGCCUACCCACACUGUAGAAAAGCCACACCACUGUAACCAGUGUGGGAUGAGUUUCAGACUACCUAUACUAUUGAAGAUUCAUCAGCAUAUCCACACUGGAGAAAAGCCUUUAUGUCUAUGACCAAUAUGGGAAAAGUUCCUGUCACUUACAGGACUUAGAGAGGCAUCAGAGUAUCCACGAUGGAGAAAAGCCAUACUUCUGUGACCAGUGUGGGAAGAGUUUCCGAUUCACUUUGUCAUUCAAAAUUCCUCAGUGUAAUGUUAUCCACAUCGGAGAAAAGCCUUAUGUCUGUGAACAAUGUGGGAAGAGUUUCCGUUGCUUAGGGGACUUGGAGAUGCUUCAGUACAUCCACACUGGAGAAAAGCCAUACUUCUGUGACAAAUGUGGGAAGAGUUUUAGGCAGUCAUGCUAUUUGAAGGUUUAUCAGGGUAUUCACACUAGAGAAAUGCAUCAUCAUCUACACAAUUUGAAAUGUAUGAUCAAAUUGGCUAUUUAAAAAUUAUUUGGAUUAUAAAGGUUGUCACACAACUGUCCCAAUAAUAUUCCUAUGCAUGCAACUUAAGUGUCAAAUUGUAUUAUUUUACUUCCACUGUCAAAGCUACAGCAUCAAACACAAAGACACAUGCAUACACCCAUGCACACAGCUCCCUGAAGAACAAGGCCUUCCCUUAAUAUAGCAAUGCUUGAGUAAGCUAAAACUCUAGUAUUGUAAGCCAGCGUGCUAAAUAUAUAUCUAUAUAUAUAUAUAUAAUUCAAUUCAAUUCAAAUUAGC